RNAcentral lists this ribosomal RNA (447 nucleotides) under uncultured bacterium. RNAcentral's name for it is "bacterial SSU rRNA". It matches the Rfam family "Bacterial small subunit ribosomal RNA", at positions 340 to 779 of the family's 1533-position model. The record is from RNAcentral.
UACGGAAGGCAGCAGGGGGGAAUAUUGCACAAUGGGCGCAAGCCUGAUGCAGCCAUGCCGCGUGUAUGAAGAAGGCCUUCGGGUUGUAAAGUACUUUCAGUCGUGAGGAAGGUGUUAAGGUUAAUAACCUUAGCAAUUGACGUUAGCGACAGAAGAAGCACCGGCUAACUCCGUGCCAGCAGCCGCGGUAAUACGGAGGGUGCGAGCGUUAAUCGGAAUUACUGGGCGUAAAGGGCACGCAGGCGGUUAAUUAAGUUGGAUGUGAAAUCCCCGGGCUUAACCUGGGAAUGGCAUUCAAGACUGGUUAGCUAGAGUCUUGUAGAGGGGGUAGAAUUCCAUGUGUAGCGGUGAAAUGCGUAGAGAUGUGGAGGAAUACCGGUGGCGAAGGCGGCCCCUGGACAAAGACUGACGCUCAUGUGCGAAAGCGUGGGGAGCGAAACAGGGAUU